AGAACGAACGCUGGCGGCAGGCUUAACACAUGCAAGUCGAGCGCUGUAGCAAUACAGAGCGGCAGACGGGUGAGUAACGCGUGGGAACAUACCCUCCGGUUCGGAAUAACUCAGGGAAACUUGAGCUAAUACCGAAUACGGUCGAGAGGCGAAAGAUUUAUCGCCGGAGGAUUGGCCCGCGUUCGAUUAGCUAGUUGGUGAGGUAACGGCUCACCAAGGCGACGAUCGAUAGCUGGUCUGAGAGGAUGAUCAGCCACAUUGGGACUGAGACACGGCCCAAACUCCUACGGGAGGCAGCAGUGGGGAAUAUUGGACAAUGGGCGAAAGCCUGAUCCAGCCAUGCCGCGUGAGUGAUGACGGCCUUAGGUGUAAGCUCUUUCGCUAGGGACGAUAAUGACGGUACCUAGACAAGACGCCCGGCUAACUUCGCGCCAGCAGCCGC
RNAcentral lists this ribosomal RNA (442 nucleotides) under uncultured bacterium. RNAcentral's name for it is "SSU rRNA". It matches the Rfam family "Bacterial small subunit ribosomal RNA", at positions 26 to 518 of the family's 1533-position model. The record is from RNAcentral.